UACGAAGGGGGCUAGCGUUGCUCGGAAUUACUGGGCGUAAAGCGCACGUAGGCGGAUUGUUAAGUCAGGGGUGAAAUCCCAGAGCUCAACUCUGGAACUGCCUUUGAUACUGGCAAUCUCGAGUCCGGAAGAGGUGAGUGGAACUCCUAGUGUAGAGGUGGAAUUCGUAGAUAUUAGGAAGAACACCAGUGGCGAAGGCGGCUCACUGGUCCGGAACUGACGCUGAGGUGCGAAAGCGUGGGGAGCAAACAGG
This 253-nucleotide ribosomal RNA is filed under the name uncultured bacterium. RNAcentral's name for it is "partial 16S ribosomal RNA". It matches the Rfam family "Bacterial small subunit ribosomal RNA", at positions 524 to 776 of the family's 1533-position model. The record is from RNAcentral.